Molecule: ribosomal RNA, 369 nt
Filed under: uncultured organism
Description: partial 16S ribosomal RNA
Rfam family: Bacterial small subunit ribosomal RNA
Source: RNAcentral
GUAGGUGGCGAGCGUUAUCCGGAUUUACUGGGCGUAAAGCGCGUGCAGGCGGUUCCGUAAGUCGGACGUGAAAGCUCCUGGCUUAACUGGGAGAGGCCGUUCGAUACUGCGGGACUUGAGGUCGGGAGAGGGACGUGGAAUUUCCGGUGUAGUGGUGGAAUGCGUAGAUAUCGGAAGGAACACCAGUGGCGAAGGCGGCGUCCUGGCCCGCACCUGACGCUAAGACGCGAAAGCGUGGGUAGCGAACGGGAUUAGAUACCCCGGUAGUCCACGCCGUAAACGGUGGAUACUAGGUGUUGGUGGCUAUCGUCAUCAGUGCCGUAGCUAACGCGUUAAGUAUCCCGCCUGGGGACUACGGCCGCAAGGCUA